This 497-nucleotide ribosomal RNA is filed under the name uncultured bacterium. RNAcentral describes it as "partial 16S ribosomal RNA". It matches the Rfam family "Bacterial small subunit ribosomal RNA", at positions 28 to 507 of the family's 1533-position model. The record is from RNAcentral.
GAUGAACGCUGGCGGCGUGCCUAAUACAUGCAAGUCGAGCGAACAGACGAGGAGCUUGCUCCUCUGACGUUAGCGGCGGACGGGUGAGUAACACGUGGAUAACCUACCUAUCAGACUGGGAUAACUUCGGGAAACCGGAGCUAAUCCCGGAUAAUAUAUUGAACCGCAUGGUUCAAUAGUGAAAGACGGUUUUGCUGUCACUUAUAGAUGGAUCCGCGCCGCAUUAGCUAGUUGGUAAGGUAACGGCUUACCAAGGCAACGAUGCGUAGCCGACCUGAGAGGGUGAUCGGCCACACUGGAACUGAGACACGGUCCAGGCUCCUACGGGAGGCAGCAGUAGGGAAUCUUCCGCAAAGGGCGAAAGCCUGACGGAGCAACGCCGCGUGAGUGAUGAAGGUCUUCGGAUCGUAAAACUCUGUUAUUAGGGAAGAACAAAUGUGUAAGUAACUAUGCACGUCUUGACGGUACCUAAUCAGAAAGCCACGGCUAACUACGUG